AGACGAACGCUGGCGGCGCGUUUAAGCAUGCAAGUCGAGCGGCAAGGGCCUUCGGGCCCCUAGAGCGGCGGACGGGUGAGUAACACGUGGACAAUCUGCCCCCCGGCCCGGGAUAGCCCAGGGAAACCUGGAUUAAUACCGGAUGAGACGGGACCCGCGAUGGCGGGACCCGGGAAAGGCGCUGCGGCGCCGCCGGGGGAUGAGUCUGCGUCCCAUUAGCUAGACGGCGGGGUAACGGCCCACCGUGGCGACGAUGGGUAGCCGGCCUGAGAGGGUGGACGGCCACAUUGGAACUGAGACACGGUCCAGACUCCUACGGGAGGCAGCAGCUAAGAAUCUUCCGCAAUGGGCGAAAGCCUGACGGAAGCGACGCCGCGUGAACGAAGAAGGCCGUGAGGUUGUAAAGUUCUUUUCGGGAGGGGGAACAACCGUGGCAGGGAAUGGCCGCGGGAUGACGUGAAUCCCGGAAUAAGCCCCGGCUAACUACGUGCCAGCCGCCGC
This 501-nucleotide ribosomal RNA is filed under the name uncultured bacterium. Its description in RNAcentral is "bacterial SSU rRNA". It matches the Rfam family "Bacterial small subunit ribosomal RNA", at positions 28 to 518 of the family's 1533-position model. The record is from RNAcentral.